Molecule: non-coding RNA, 148 nt
Organism: Pan troglodytes (chimpanzee)
Lineage: Eukaryota; Metazoa; Chordata; Mammalia; Primates; Hominidae
Rfam family: Metazoan signal recognition particle RNA
About the family: The signal recognition particle (SRP) is a universally conserved ribonucleoprotein. It is involved in the co-translational targeting of proteins to membranes.
Source: Rfam
GCUGGGUGUGGUGGCGCAUGCCUGUAAUCCCAGCUACUCUGGAGGCUGAGAAAGGAGAAUCGCUUGAACCCAGGAGGCGGAGGUUGCAGUGAGCCAAGAUCGCGUCACUGCACUCCAGCCUGGGAGACAGAGCGAGACUCUGUCUCAA